GUGUCAGCCGCCGCGGUAAUACCGGCAGCCCAAGUGGUGGCCACUAUUAUUGGGUCUAAAACGUCCGUAGCCGGCCUGGUAAAUCCUUCGGUAAAUCGAACGGCUUAACCGUUCGGCCUCGUGGGAGACUGCCAGGCUUGGGACCGGGAGAGGCUGGGGGUACUCCAGGGGUAGGGGUGAAAUCCUGUAAUCCUUGGGGGACCACCAGUGGCGAAGGCGCCCGGCUUGAACGGGUCCGACGGUAAGGGACGAAAGCCAGGGGAGCAAACCGGAUUAGAUACCCGGGUAGUCCUGGCCGUAAACGCUGCGGGCUUGGUGUUGGGGAUCCUACGUGGGUGCCCAGUGCCGGAGCGAAGGUGUUAAGCCCGCUACCUGGGGAGUACGGCCGCAAGGCUGAAACUUAAAUGAAUUGACGGGG
This 418-nucleotide ribosomal RNA is filed under the name uncultured prokaryote. RNAcentral describes it as "bacterial SSU rRNA". It matches the Rfam family "Archaeal small subunit ribosomal RNA", at positions 455 to 873 of the family's 1478-position model. The record is from RNAcentral.